ACGGGUGCGUAACGCGUAAGCAACCUGCCUUCUACUGGGGGAUAGCCCGGCGAAAGCUGGGGUAAACCCGCACGGUCCCACCGGGUCACCUGGUCUGGUGGGUAAACAUUCAUGGGUAGAAGAGGGGCUUGCGUCUGAUUAGCUAGUUGGCGGGGUAAGGGCCCACCAAGGCGAUGAUCAGUAGGGGUUCUGAGAGGAUUGGCCCCCACAUGGGUACUGAGAUACGGACCCAACUCCUACGGGAGGCAGCAGUAGGGAAUAUUGGGCAAUGGAGGCAACUCUGACCCAGCCAUGCCGCGUGCAGGAUGAAGGCGCUCAGCGUUGU
RNAcentral lists this ribosomal RNA (325 nucleotides) under uncultured Spirosoma sp. RNAcentral describes it as "bacterial SSU rRNA". It matches the Rfam family "Bacterial small subunit ribosomal RNA", at positions 102 to 426 of the family's 1533-position model. The record is from RNAcentral. Lineage: Bacteria; Pseudomonadati; Bacteroidota; Cytophagia; Cytophagales; Cytophagaceae.